RNAcentral lists this long non-coding RNA (3345 nucleotides) under Sorghum bicolor (sorghum). RNAcentral's name for it is "long non-coding RNA (SBIC_LNC005967)". The record is from RNAcentral. Lineage: Eukaryota; Viridiplantae; Streptophyta; Magnoliopsida; Poales; Poaceae.
UCCUAAAUAGUACAAUUGCUCAAGAGUGUAAGCUAUGGUUGAACAUGACAUAAGCAAUUUAAAAUGGGGUCACAGAAUCAUCAUGCAAUAUGUUAACCACAUGCACGACGACAGCAAGUUUACAAGUGAAGUUUGUUAGAUUGAUCCUGACGAAGACUGAUACAACUCAAAAACCCAAGUUGGAGCUAAGAAACCAGUAGGAAAUAGGCCAAACAUUCUCACCAGCUGCAUACCUGAAAUAGAAGGAAAUGAGCUUAGGUCAGCUAGUAGGGCCGGGAUACCUAGUUUCUCUUACCUUCAAUUUUAUGUCUUUUUUUCUUUUCAGAAACAAAUAUGUUCAGUUUCACAAGGACGUCCUUAUUAGCACAAAUACAAAGCUGGCAAAAUCCUCUCUGCAAGGAUGAUUGAGAUGUCUCUUAGAGAAGGAGGGGGAUUUGGAUAUGGUGUUCCUGUAAUUUUACAAAAAUCAAGGUCUGGUUUCCAAAUCAGACCCUCCGGUUUCCGUAAAUAAAUUGAGUACACUAGAAAUUAGGUUAACUAAGAUAAGCAAUUAAGACUGCGGCUCCUAGAUGACGUCUAGAGAGUUACUAUCGAGGUCCCUACAUACAAGUAAGCACAAACCAAGUAGAACUCAGAAGAAUCACAAUGCAAUGCAAAUAAGGGGAUUUGCAAUAAUCAAACCAAAGUGGAGAUGCAAUUAUUUGUUUAUUAUCUAAGUAGAUAGUUAAAUACACUAGUGACCCUCAAACUUAUACGAGUGUGUGAAAUAGGUCUACGAACUUCGAAAAGGCAUCCAUGCCCGCCACAUGGGCAUUUCUCGUUGAUGUGGCAUAUGUUAUAGUGUGGACCUCUAAUAGAACAUUUAAGCAUUGAUGAAGUAUGAUAUUAUACUUAGUGGUUGUUUGACUGGGCUCCUUCUAGGCUUCUAAGGGGGCUUCUCUAGCCUGUUUUCAUUGAAAAAUGAUUUCUUCUAUAAAAUGUUUGGUAGGGCUCCUCCAAAUGAGCCAGAACCGGAGCUAAGGAGGAGCCUUACCAAAUAGACCUUUAUACUUGCACCUCUAAUCAGCUAAGCUAGGCUUGAUUCUAGACAUAUCAGUUAUAUCUAGGUAGACAUAUAUGAUUAUAUUCCAUAAGAUUAUAUCCUGAUUGGGUACCAAUCCAUGUAAAUGCUUUGCCCGCAGUAUAUAUUUGGAUGCCCUAUCUGGAAUUUCUAGGUUUUUGGCCUACAUCCCAGCUAUCUAACUUCAUCAAUGUUCAUAAAGCUAAGUGAGCUUAGCUAGUAAGCAUACAUAGAAAACAGAGUUAGAAUCUCACUUAUUUAAAGAUAGUAGUGUUCCUACUAUGUUUCAACACAGAGUAGCUAGCUUGGCAGCAUAAUCCAUAGCUAGCUGCAUAUGCGUGACUUCGGUAACAACAAUAUUGCAUCUAUAUCUAGCUAAUUGGCCACGGUUCCUAAUUACUAGCUAGGCCCCAUUUUCUUAACACUCGUAAUUAAGGAGUAGUGGUUAAGGACAGCUAUACACAGGAGUAGAGGACAUAGAACUGCAGAGAGAUGUGAGAGAUGGCUAGGAACUGGUCCUACAUUAUUAGAUAAGCACAGAGACAUAUUCUAUGCCAUGUUUAUGUUGGGUUUGCCAUCAUACUCACAUCACUUGUUUUUUUUCCCUAUACUAUUGAAGUAUUGAUCAAAUCAAGCUCACAAAUCUAUUAUACAACGGCAACAUUGUUUUUCCCCCCUUGCAUGUCAUCCACUGAUCACUACUAUUAUUUUCUCCUGGCCCCACAUACCCCAGCCUCCUAAGCGCUCUCUCUCUCUCUCUCUCUGCCUACUUGUAUAAAUGCCCAGCUCCUUCCCUCCCAAGUGAGAAGAGGAGGAAGAAGCACUCAGCAAGAGCUUUCAAGAAGCUUUGCUUGUAGUUGUGUUUGCUUUGCUCAAUCUACUGAAAAAAAAACAGCAGAGAGAAAGAGAUCACCAUAACUGAGUUAUUAGCAAGAAAGUGGUAGAGAGGUAUGGGGGUGAUGGACGAAGCAGAGCCGAUGAAGAAGACGAUGAUAAGAGUGAGGGAGUUUGACGUGGAGAGAGACCUCAGGACUGUGGAGGAGCUCGAGCGUCUGUGCCAGGUCGGCCUAUCGGGCGACGACCAAGGCUCUGACCCUGUGGCCGACCAUGAUGGCGGCGGCGCAGCGAAGACGACGACGAGGUGCAGCAGCAAGAAGAAGAGCAAGAAGAAAGGCAUGUCGCUCUACGUCGAGCAGAUCGGCGACCCGUUUGCCCGGGUGCGCCAUGCGCCGGACAACGUCAUGCUGGUAAUUUUACUAUGCCACAGCUCAUGCACCCGGCCAGCCGCCGGGCGCCAUUGACGCUUUCAGUCUGACCUCGCGUGCCUCCGGCAUGGUAGUGAUGCUCAUGAUCGAGCGUGCUUGAUUUGUGCAGGUUGCUGAGUACGGUGAGGAAGAUGAGGUCGUCGGAGUGAUCAAGGCGUGCACCAGGAUGGUAAGCAGAGGAAAGAAGAAGCAAAGCCUCAGCAGCAGCAGCAGCAGCAGCUCGAAGCAGUUCGUCAAGGUGGCAUGCCUUCUGGGCCUCAGGGUGUCCCCUUCCCACAGGUGAUUAAUUAAACAACUAAAGCAAUUAACCCGAGUUAAUCACUGUACACAAAUCAUCAGAUGCUGACACAUUGCGCGAGCAAAGCUGCAAUGCGAGUGCGAGCAACCACCACCACGUGGGGUCAGUGCGCUGACAGUCGCCUUUCGUCGUCUCCGUUGUUGUGCAGGCGCCUCGGGGUCGCGACGGAGCUGGUCCGGCGCGCCGAGUCGUGGUGCGCGGCGCGCGGCGCGGCGUACGCCACCAUGGCCACCACCGAGUCCAACGCCGCGUCGCUCGCGCUCUUCACCGGCCGCUUCGCGUACGCGCCGUUCCGGCGGCCGGUGUUCCUGGGCCACCCCGUGCACCGCCACCGGGUGCGCAUCCCGCGGGCGCACCGCGUGCUGCGCCUGCCCCCGCCGCUCGCCGCGGCCGCCUACGCCGCGCUGCUCCCGCCCUCGGCCGCCGAGUUCCUCCCCGCCGACCUCCCGGCCCUGCUCAACCACAAGCUCACCCUCGGCACGUACCUCGCCAUCCAGCGCGGCGGCGGCGGACCCGACGAGGACCCGGCCCGGACGCCGUCGUUCGCGCUGCUCAGCGUCUGGGACGCCACGCGCUCCCUCCGCCUCCGCGUCGGCGGCGCGCCCACGCUCCUCCGCGCGUCCCUGGCCGCGGCGCGCGCGCUCGACCGCCACGCGCCGUGGCUGCAGGUGCCCUCCGUCCCCGACAUCUUCCGCCCGUUCGGGACCUACCUCAUGUACGGC